CGCGGGUACCACCAAAGCUCCCACCACCGGCCCCCCCAUCCCUCGUAACUCCGGGGGGCUUCGACGUCCUCCCCCCCCCCGCCCCCUCGUGAUGGAGCGCCAUUUCGGCUGCGAGAGAGGUGUUGGGGCCUCGCUCGGGUAAGGGGGGGGCCCUGCAGGUUGGGGGGGGGGCUGUGUUGUCCCCUGGCCCCCCCCGGAGGCGGCGGAGGUGGGAGAGGUAAAGCUGCUCCAGCUCGCGGGCCACGGCCUCGUCCUCAGCGUUCUGUGUUGGGGGCUGCUCUGCUUCCAGGGGGGGCAGCGAU
RNAcentral lists this long non-coding RNA (302 nucleotides) under Gallus gallus (chicken). Lineage: Eukaryota; Metazoa; Chordata; Aves; Galliformes; Phasianidae. The record is from RNAcentral.